Macaca mulatta (Rhesus monkey) is the source of this 643-nucleotide non-coding RNA. The record is from RefSeq and is a predicted model, not a curated record. NCBI's taxonomy places the organism in Eukaryota, Metazoa, Chordata, Mammalia, Primates, Cercopithecidae.
UGCCCAAUGUGGCCUUUGCUGCACUCUUCCCCUGAGGCCUCCCGCUCCUCAGAUCUCAGCUGAAUCACCGCCUCUCAGGGCCUGGACCCAACCACUGAGACAAUCCACCAGCAGCUCCGCAAACCCCCAUCCAUGGGCCUGGCCUGCAAAUGGAAAAGACAGAGCUGCAGAGAGCCCCAGAAGUCCCAUGGGCCAGCUCCCGGCCCCAGGCCCCCUGCCUACCGGACAUCUUUGUCGAUCUGCAACAGCACCUCGUUGUCCUUGAAGUAUGUGUUCCACCGGCUGUCAGGGUUGGGGUUGAGUGGCUGUGGGGAGAAAUGAAGAUGCUCUGUCGGAGGCCCAGAUAGGCGCCUGGGCCCGAUUUUAUCCCAGAAACCUGAACAGUGGCCUUGCUGCAACAACCCCACCACACACUGAGAUGUGGCCCUGACACCACCUGCAAGCUACUCAGAGGAGCCAACACAGCCCUUCCCACAGCCUCCUGAAUCCGUUUGAACUCCACAGCCAGAAGCCCAGCCUGGCAGCCUCCUCUGAGUACAUCUCUGCUGGGCAGGGACUCUGUUCCUUUUCUGUCCAUUGCUGUAGCUCGAGAACUUUGCAUGUAACAGUUGCUCAGUAAAUGUUUGCUUGCUGAAUGAAUGAA